Acanthosepion pharaonis is the source of this 111-nucleotide non-coding RNA. The record is from the annotation of a GenBank genome assembly. NCBI's taxonomy places the organism in Eukaryota, Metazoa, Mollusca, Cephalopoda, Sepiida, Sepiidae.
UACGGCUAUAUCACAGUGAAACACCAGUUGUCAUACGAUCACCGAAGUUAAGCAACGUCGCUUUUGUUCACUAUCAAGAUGGGUGCUCGCUUGGGAAUGGCAGGUUCUGUA